UUUCAAACUCAGUCUCCCCUCCCCAAGUAUCUCUGACCACUGAGUGGUCUUCCCACGCCUCCCUCCCUUCCGUCCCCCCAAGGAGGACCCAGGUCCCCCCACCCCUGCCCAAUUGUAUGAUAGUCCUAAUAAACUCGGGACACACCUGGAAGGAAACACUUUCCCUUAUGACUGAGAAAACUUAGUAAGAAACAGUCCUUUGGUUGAGGAGAGCGGGAGAGGGAGGAGGGAAAGGGGACACCUUCUCAAAAUAAUAAUAAAAUUAUAAAGAAACAAAAAAUUAAAACUGAUGUAAAAGCAGCACAACGAAAACAUGAAAUGUCAUCAAGUUCAACGUCAAAGCAGCCAAUGAUUUACAAGAGGCGAACAAAUCUCUGAAGAGAAAACCAGAACCCAAAAGAGUUGCUCUCAAAUUGCACCAAAAACUGCCUGUAGUUUCUUUCAAACAUGCAGUUUUCUUUUCUUUUUUGGAAGGGGGAAGGCAAUGGUGAAGGGAAGAAGGGAGUGGUUAUUUUCCUCCGGGGUUCCUCCCUUGCUGUGGACAUUGACUUGAAGCAGCAGAACUGGGAGUCCGGAUGUGCCGAGGAAGAGGGCUACCACUGUGGCAUUCCAGGCCUCGUUGCCAUGGCGACCCGAAGCAGGGGCCUGGGGCCUCCUCUCCCCUGACUUGGCGCCGCAGGAGGCCCGGGGUCUGGAGCUCAGCUGCUCUCACGCAUCCCACCCCUGAGCAGAGCAGCGGAGACCUGGGCUGAGGGGCAUGCUGUGUCCAGGAAGUUGUCUGAAAAAAAGAGAAUGGGAUGGGUACAUUCCUGAACACACCAGGCCCAGGGACAAUGGAGUAACAGAAUCGUAAUGAGAAACAUACAGUUACAACACAGUCAUAAGAAGUCAUGUUCGUGUGUGUACGGAGGGGGAAGGAGACUUAAAACAAGAAAACACUGUAUUUCCUCCCUCAGUCCCUGUGAGCAAAGGGCUACAAGCAGGAGAGGAUGGGGCCUGAGGCUUCUCAACUCCUUUUCAGGAAGGCCCGAAAUAAUCCCAGUACUUUUCAGCAAACUGUGUCUGUGAAUAAACCACCUCAUUUCCUUAUUUC
Non-coding RNA from Macaca mulatta (Rhesus monkey), 1093 nucleotides. NCBI's taxonomy places the organism in Eukaryota, Metazoa, Chordata, Mammalia, Primates, Cercopithecidae. The record is from RefSeq and is a predicted model, not a curated record.